Molecule: long non-coding RNA, 339 nt
Filed under: Elaeis guineensis (African oil palm)
Lineage: Eukaryota; Viridiplantae; Streptophyta; Magnoliopsida; Arecales; Arecaceae
Description: long non-coding RNA (EGUI_LNC029462)
Source: RNAcentral
UUUCCAAUCUUCGAAGCCUAGCCAACCUCUUGGUUGUCAUGAUCAUGGGGGAUCCCCAUGGCUGUUUGGAGAUGAAGUGAUUUGGGGAAGCCCUUGUGGUCAUGCUCGCCUUGGUGAUGGAGUACUCGAGAAUCAUCACCGCCAUACUCGCUAGGAUGACGAAGUGCUAGAAGGCUAUUGUACUGUGCCUGAAAAGCAUUGUGAUGCACCCAAAAAUCAUCAUGAUGCACCCAAAAAUUAUCAUGAUGUGCCUAGAAAUCAUAGUAAUGUGCCUGGGAAUCAUCAUGACAUGCUCAGAAAUCAUCGUGACGCAUUCGAAAAACGUCAUGAUGCACCCAA